UCGGUCCACGCCUUCCUGGAUUGGGAACACCUGGGCCUCAUCAGACCAGCUGGUAUAUUAGAAGGAGGAGAUCAGCUGUUCAACGCUGGAUUGUUGUGAAGGCUCUAAUUCCCCGGACCCGUCCCCGUGUUUCCCCGUGUGGAGUGUGGAAGGAGUGACUGGUCGCUAGCGGAGAAGAGAGAGGUUGAACUGAGCGUGUGUGUGAUUUUCCCCGUUUUCCCUGGAGCCCUGGACCCCUGCCCCUCACGUCUUGUAUAUAGCACUAACCCCGCACUGUCUGUACAUACACUUGGUGAAGAUCUGUAAAUAAACCGUCUCUGUUUAAACGCUA
This is a long non-coding RNA of Oreochromis aureus, 331 nucleotides long. RefSeq lists it as uncharacterized. The record is from RefSeq and is a predicted model, not a curated record. Lineage: Eukaryota; Metazoa; Chordata; Actinopteri; Cichliformes; Cichlidae. The transcript has 2 exons.